UAGGGAAUCUUCGGCAAUGGGGGCGAACCCUGACCGAGCAACGCCGCGUGAGUGAAGAAGGUUUUCGGAUCGUAAAGCUCUGUUGUAAGAGAAGAACGUGUGUGAGAGUGGAAAGUUCACACAGUGACGGUAACUUACCAGAAAGGGACGGCUAACUACGUGCC
This 164-nucleotide ribosomal RNA is filed under the name uncultured bacterium. RNAcentral describes it as "partial 16S ribosomal RNA". It matches the Rfam family "Bacterial small subunit ribosomal RNA", at positions 355 to 509 of the family's 1533-position model. The record is from RNAcentral.